UACGGUUCUAAACUAAUUAACAUCUCCCUUACUUUCUUUUUGAAAUUAUCAAUUACCCUAAAGCUAUUUGGUAGAUAAUUAUAAAUCGUUAUACAAUUAUACGAAGGAUGUUUCUCACUUAAGCUUAAUCUAUGCUUAGAAUAAUGUAAGUCCAGAGUUCUUGUCUGGUAAAUAUGAGCUGUUGUGUGUUGAAUCAUUGUAUCUUUAUUUUUGAAAAAAAAAUUAAGCAUUCGAAUAGGUGGACCACGGUCGAUGGUAUGAUUUUAUUUAUUUAGGCCUAUGAUUAAUAUACGAAAAUGUUAACGCUGAACUUAUGGAGGGUAAAGAUGAGGAGAAUAAUCUAUUAUGGUAGAAGGUUCAGCGGAAAAGGAUAAAUAGGAGGCGCUAGUGUUGUUAGAGGGUAACGAAUACAAGAAGACAAAUGUAUUUUCAACCUUAUAUUUAUAAAAGUAAAUCUAAUAAACAAUUUUGAAUUGA
Molecule: long non-coding RNA, 477 nt
Organism: Harmonia axyridis
Lineage: Eukaryota; Metazoa; Arthropoda; Insecta; Coleoptera; Coccinellidae
Exons: 2
Source: RefSeq, a predicted model, not a curated record